Molecule: long non-coding RNA, 1041 nt
Organism: Ruditapes philippinarum (Manila clam)
Lineage: Eukaryota; Metazoa; Mollusca; Bivalvia; Venerida; Veneridae
Exons: 4
Source: RefSeq, a predicted model, not a curated record
UGAUAAGCGUGCCUUUGGAUUUAAUUGUUCAUCAACCAACCUGCCAUUGUCUUAACAAUACAGAUUGCAACAGUGCAACGGGGCGAUGUUAUUUCGAAUUAUGCGCCUUUGGUUGGCAAGGUCCAAGAUGUGAUGAAGAACAGAAUAUUUUGAGACAUUUAGAUGUGCAGACAGACAUGUCAUCAGCAUUCCUUAACUGGACAUCAAAUCUCGCAAUCGAUGGAAACAUUGGUCCAAAACCUGACGUUUGCAAUUGCUGUAGCGGCACAAUGAAUAUUCCCAAAUAUCCUGGUGGACAGUUGAUUUGGGAAAACGGUAUCCUAUUAAUAGUGUUACUGUGUUCAGUACAGAUUCUGGUAAGUUGGAACGUGGUACGUCAGAUAUGCUUGAUAGAAAUAUAACAAUGAACAUCAUUUUAAAUCAUAAAAAUUAAAAUGAUAAUAUUCUGUAAACAUAUAUUUAUAAUGAACAGUCUUCUGUUUGAUAAACAUAUACUAUUCUAAUUAUAUUCAUUCUUUGAUCUAGUUAUUGUUUCCAAUUCCGUGUCGUUUUAUUGUUGCCUCAUAGAUCAGUUAUAUCAGCAACUCGCCGAUGUUGAGCUAUAUCUUGCUAACGAUACUGGACAACACUCGUUUCACCUGGUUGGAAAUAGCACACGAAGGAUUGAUGGAAAUAAACACGUCCUUACAUUUUCAAAUAAACUGACAAGAUUCAUUAAGAUUCAGAGACCAGGUGUCCUUACACUGUGCGAAGUGAUCGUAUCUGAAGGGGAAUGUCAGGUGGGGACAUUUGGUGAAGAAUGCUCCGAGAUAUGUCACUGUGCUGAUGAACGUGCAUGUGAUAAAACAAGUGGAUAUUGUCAGUCAGAUGCAUGUAAAUCUGGUUGGAUCGGUAAAUCAUGUAACCAAGAAUGUCCAAAGAACAGAUUUGGUGACCGAUGUAGUGAGACUUGUUUUUGUGCUGAAGGUACAUGCACUACUAACUAUGGGGUUUGUCAGAACGGUUGUCAACAAGGAUACACUGGCUCUCUUUGCAAUCAAG